This is an RNA transcript of Felis catus (domestic cat), 7564 nucleotides long. It is a transcript of the gene named nudix hydrolase 9, with no coding region annotated. NCBI's taxonomy places the organism in Eukaryota, Metazoa, Chordata, Mammalia, Carnivora, Felidae. The transcript is spliced from 10 exons. The record is from RefSeq and is a predicted model, not a curated record.
AAAGUGCUGUUACGCACUUGGGAUGCCACUGGGGUCCGCGUCGCUGCUACGCAGCGGCAGGCGCUGGGAGUGACGAAGCGCUCUGCUGGUUUGGUUGCCUGCGUCUCACUGUUGAAAGUGGGGGAUUAUUUGGGGAGGGAUCCUGGUUUUGUGUAUUUUUGAGAAGAACGUAAAUAGUCCUUUCCUGGAACGGGAGAGCGGCCCGGUCCUAGUGCCCGCUAAUACUAGGGGCUGUGGAGCGGACGGAGGUUGUGGCCCUACCUAAGCGUGACCUCGCUCCGCGAAGCCGCCCGCGGGGCGCUGAUGGCCGAACGCAUUCUGGGAAAGACUUUAGCCACGGUGUCUCUCUCUGUGGCCUUGGCCUCUGUGACUGUCAAGUCCUCGGGCUGUUGCAGCAUUCCGGCGUGCAGAAACUCAUUUUUAUCCUGUGGGUUUCAUCUUAACUCCAACAUCAUGUCUAGUUCUAAUGGUGCCAAAGAGAAUUCGCACAACAAGGCUCGAACAUCUCCGUAUCCUGGUUCAAAAGUCCAACGCAGCCAGGUUCCAAAUGAGAAAGUAGGAUGGUUUGUUGAGUGGCAAGACUAUAAUCCUGUGGAAUACACUGCUGUCUCUGUCUUGGCAGGACCCAGGUGGGCCGAUCCUCAGAUCAGUGAAAGUAACUUCUUUCCCAAGUUUAAUGAAAAGGAUGGGCAUGUUGAGAGAAAGAGCCAGAAUGGUCUAUAUGAGAUUGAAAAUGGAAGACCCAGAAAUCCUGCAGGACGGACAGGACUGAUUGGCCGGGGGCUUUUGGGGCGAUGGGGCCCAAAUCAUGCUGCAGAUCCCAUCAUAACCAGGUGGAAAAGGGAUAGAAGUGGAAAUAAAAUUACCCACCCUGUUUCUGGGAAAAACAUCUUACAGUUUGUGGCAAUAAAAAGGAAAGACUGUGGAGAAUGGGCAAUCCCAGGGGGGAUGGUGGACCCAGGAGAGAAGAUUAGUGCUACACUGAAAAGAGAAUUUGGUGAGGAAGCUCUCAACUCCUUACAGAAAUCCAGUGCAGAAAAGAGAGAAUUAGAGGAACAGUUGCACAAACUCUUCAGCCAGGAACAUCUAGUGAUAUAUAAAGGAUAUGUCGAUGAUCCUCGAAACACUGAUAAUGCAUGGAUGGAGACAGAAGCUGUGAACUACCAUGAUGAAACAGACUGGCAGCUUGCUCAAGGAAUUGACCAGUGAAAGAAAGUGAAUCCCUUCGUAUUUGUAGAGCUGUCCAUCCCGGUGUGUAUGCAAGAAUAUGUAAGUCAAACACUGUCCCAUUGUUUGCUUAGGCAAGAACAAUACCUGAGGUGGUGUUUGUUUCUUAAGGGUGACUCUUCCUGCUUUCUGACUUAACUAGGAUUCCUGGGAGAAUCCUGGGCUAUGAAGGUAUGGCAGUUCUAGAAGUUAUUCUGUCAGAAUUCUUUCCAGGAUAUAGGUUGUGGCCAAGAGUACUUCUAAAAAUUUUCCAAAAAAGAAAGUAUAAAUAGGUAUUAAGUGUCCAGAUCUGGUAAUGUGAAUGAGUAUCUGAGGAGUAUAUUUGCACUGGAAGAGACCUGGGAGGUAAACCGAUACCUUUACCCAGGGUCACACAGCUAAUUUAAUUGUAAAAGAGAUUUAAAUCAAGAGAGAAAUUAGAAUCUAAGAGAGGUUUGAAUCUAGGCUUUCCAACCACAGGCCAGUGCUCUUUCUGCAGGUUUUGAUAUAAAGGUGAACUUGCCAAUUUUGUAAUCGUUAAUGAUUAAUCAUUGAAGGCAGUUUCCUAAAACAUUUUUCGUUAGAAAUAUGCUAGAAUUUUUAUUGUCUGCCAUUUGGAAAUGGACUAUAACAUUGCUUAAACAGAGUGGAUUAUGGGAAGAGCACUAGCACUUGAACUCAAGAGACUUAGGUUCUUAUUGAUUAGACUCAGAAGCUUGUUUGGUCUCAAGUUUCUGGGACACUUAAAUAUUCCUCAAGAUGGUUGGCUUUAAAUAGUCUCAAAUCCUGAAAAAUUUUAUCUCCGGCACACGAAUGAUUUAGGCCUGAGUUUCUGACAUUUUUACAAAAUACUGCCAUGUCCCUGAUUCUAAGAUACCACCAAUUGUAAAAUGUACCAUUUUAAGUGAUAGUAUUUUAAAGAAAAAAGAAAUCUUAGAAUAAAUGUAUCUGUUGUGAGAUGUGUCUUGAUUUCAGAAAAUGUUUAAGUAUGAAAAGUAUGUUUUUAGAUAAGGAAAUGGAAUUUUUCAGUAUUAUCUUUUGUAACUCCACUCCAGUUUUUCUCCUCUGUUUUCAUGAACUAAUAUUCUGAAUAACUUACUGUAUCAAUAAAGGGCCUUAUUAAAAAAUUGAAUUGUGUGCCUUUCAUCCAAAAAAAAAAAGCAGCAUUAUCUAUUGGAACUUAGCUUUGAUAAUCUUUAAUGUAUAAUGUGUUUAUGCUAAUGCUUCAUUAGUGAAGAAAUAAUCAAGUCUUUUUCAUUUCUCCAAAAGGAAUUUAUUCUGUAAGUCUAAGUCUUUUGACUCUUCACUUUCACCCUCAUCAGUGAUGGAAAAGGUUGUUUUGUCAAUUUAUAGUUUGUAUGAAUUGAAUAAUGAAUGUAGAACUGUUUGUAGAAUGUAGAAAUGAACUGAGAUUGUUUUUUGACUUUGAAUUUAACAGCUGAGAUUUAUUUUGUUUCGAAAUGAAUUAGACUAGUAAAGACAGAAAUUUUUAUGAUGAGCUGGCCUAUCUUAUAAAGGGAGUUGAAUGUAAUAUGUUUAUGAACUUUAUAGAUUAACAGGGCAGAUAUAUUUACCGUUAUAAGAUCAUUAAGUGUCAGGACCUAGAAUAAAGGAAACGCAGUUAAAUAAUCAGGGAGUUGUAAUUCAGCAUUUUAACUAUCUUUUCUAUGUUAUACAUUUUAUAUUACCUUGAUUAAUGAACACAUGCUUUUUAGAAUUCUUAGAUUUCUAAAAUUAUGGCAUUAAGAUUCAUAUUCACUAAUAUAGUACCCAUCCUCCUUUCAAACCUAUAUUUCUGGAAGCAUAUAGUCCACAUUUUCUUUUGUGGUCUCCAAACAUAGCAGGGACUUCUCGGAAAGAUCAUUAAACUUAGGCUCACUGGGUUGGAGCAAAGACUAUAUUUUAGGAUCACUUCCUUAUGAAAGAAGUACUUUAAUAAUGUCAUUCCCUAUCAUUGUAAUAGUAUCAUUUAAAAAUUUAGUAACAGUAUGCUAUAAUAUAUACAACAUAUUUUUUGGUUUGUGACUAAGUCAAUCUCGUCAUGUAAUUGUCCCUCCAUUCAGCAAAAUCCUGUAAAAAAUGAAAUCCUUUUAUAACACGACCAUAACCUUAAAUCUAGUUCAAAGGAUUCUAGGACAGAUUCCAUUUCAAUAAGAAUGUAUUUUUCUCUCAUUAAUGGCAGAUGUAAGCAUAAGGUUUUAGAGGUAAAAUGGGCUUUAUAAAUAAUUCACUGUUUUAUACUUUCUUAAAGGAAACUUUAAGUAUAAUUACCUGAUUUGGAUAAUAAGGAAAAGGAAAAGGAAUCGGAAUCUACAAAAAAAGAAGGAAAACAAGUGAAGUGUGAAUAAAACAAUUUUGUUUUAGCUUUUUUCCUAAUUUACUUACCCUUCCAUCCAUCCAUCCAUCCAUCCAGUAUUUAUUGAACAAUUAUAUGCUCUCAACGAGCCCACCUUCUACUUGGUGAAGCUUAGAUUCUAAUGGAUUUUAAAUCUUUUUUUUUUCUCUCUCAAGAGAUAUGCUUCUUUUGCUUCAUUAGUCAAAUCUAAAGCCAAAAGGAAUCUGUUUGAUGUGUUUGUUAAUUCUUGCAAAUUCACCACCAGUUUGUCUACAGUAGUUGAUUCUUUGCUUGCUUUUUAAUACUACUCUGCCAUCUGGUGGAAGGAAGAGUUUCCACUUCAAAUGCUAGGGAUUCUUUACUGCCACACAGAUUUACAUAAGAUGUUAACAGAGACUCUUAUAUUCUAAUUAUAAACCAAAACUUCAGAAUUUUUCAUUAAUUUAAAAAAAAUAUUUCUGGAUUUCAGCCAAAACAACAACAACAACAGCAGCAACACCACCACUACCACAAAAGGGAAACAAUGCCCCGCCCCUUGACUAAAACCAAAAUGACUAGCAAUUAAUGAUAAAUGCAAGUAGUCAGAAAUUUAGUGGCUAGGAUUCAAGUAGGAUACGUGAAAACAUUAAAGGGAAAGACUUCCACUGGGGACCUCAACUUUAGUGACAAAUUUCCAAAAGCCUACUUAAAGUUGAGAAACAGUUUGAAAUUAAAUACAAGCAAAAGGAAGGUGCUUAUUACAUUUAGAUAUAACACUAUGCAAAAUCAUGUUUAUUUUAAAAAUAGGUGGUAGACAAGAAGUUAAGCCAGAUGCUAUUUUAAAAUGUGUGUGAAUUUUUCACAGCAUCAUUGCUUAAAUACUGUCCAAAUUUAACAUGUCUCCAAUCUGUGUUGCAACCUCAUUGUACUGAUCAUUCUUCUCCCAAACUGCCAUGUCCUCAGGUCCCUCAGAUACAUUUGCUGUUCCCUCUGCCUGCAGUGCGCCCCCCCCCACCCCCCCAUGAUCUGGCUCAGAUAAUGUCUCCUCUGUGAAUGAAGUCUUUGACCCACAGCCUAAGCCAACUUUGUAUUUGCACCUAGAAGUACUUAUCAAAAUACAUUUUUACAUUUAUGAAUCUUUUUCUCAUCAGACUGUGAACUUAUCUCAUAAUUUUUGUAUUUCUAGCACUCACUAUAGACCCUAUCAUGCAGUAGACACUCAGUAAAUAUCAAUUGAAUGCUAUCUGUCUGUACAAAUGUAAGUAUUACAUAUAAAGUGAAGGAAAUUCUAUUUGUAUAUUUAGCACUGUUCUGGGCUUUAUUAAAAGAUGGCCAAGAAUCCAGACAUUAGGAGAGAUUGGAGAGGAUCCAGCAGAAAGAGCAAAAUAAUUAUACUGUUUGACCUGUGGGAGAAAGCUGAAAAAACAAAAACUUUUUAGAAAAAACUAAGUAGCAAGAUGAUUUAGAAAAAGAACAGGUAUUAUGGAAAGAGUUUAGUAUAUCCUUCAUGAAGUGCAACUAGGCUCAUCACAGUCAAAGGAAAUUCAGUAUAAACACCUUUUUGAUGGCAAGUAUAGAAGGACAUUGAAAGAAGUCACCAAAAAUUUUGGGGAAAAUUUGCUAGCUCCUUGUCACACUCCACCGCAGGCUAUGCGGGGAGAGGGUGUGAACAGCUCGUGCCUGGCAACACGUGAAAGCCCCAAAUUUUAAAUUUAAUAACUAUCCUCUAACUAAUAAGUGGUUUUUUAAUGUUUGUUUGUUUGUUUGCAAUUUGAGAGUCCCCAAACCCAUGUUUACCAAGGGCAGUUGUGGAGGUGGGGGAAACAGGAUCUGAGGAAAAAAUGACGGUCCUUGUGGCGGGUAAAAACCAAAUCUCUGAAAAAAAGAGACAUGAUGCCAGUCAUUUCAGACAACUGUAAACUUUUAAAAUCAUGAACAUGUCAUUUGAAAAAAACAACUAGAAGUUUACCUGUCCACUGGAACUUCCUCCAGAUGGUUCAAGCUUGUAAAACAGCACCGGCAACAAGGUAAAGCAACAUAUGGCAAGACAUUAUUUAUUACAAAGAGAUUUGAUGAGAAUAGGUAACAAGCCACUAUUGAGCGUUACGCUGGUCAGUGGUGUACCUUCACUUCUGAAAUGAAAAGCAGUUGUGUGUCCAAUGGGGAAAGGUUGAAUUAAUUUUGUCCAGUGAUUUAGAAGGUGUACUUUUGGCUUUUAAACUUAUUUCCAAAUGAUGUUUUUACUUACAUUUCUUAAGAGUAAUUACAUGUUGCAUGCCUCUUUAUCUUCGAAUCAACAAUGAUCUCAAUUUCAUUCUCAGCAUUUAGAAGUUCAAAGUGAAGAGCAUGUAGAAAUGUAAAUUUAAAUUUGGAAUCCCCAAACACAAAGUUUGAAAGCUCCCUCACUUUGAAAGCUCCUUUGUCAAAAAAUGUGCAGGAAAGAGGAUUUCUUGUCUACUUGGUGCCCUCCGUAUUCAGACUGUAAUCGACACAGAUCACACUCAGAGAUCUCAUUUGUAUAGAUGUGGAAGGCACGGCUAUAGUCAGCAUGAGAUGGUUUGGGGUAAAGGCAUUAUAAAGAAACCCAAUUCAAACUACAUAACUAAGACCCAGGUCACUGUGGAAUUUGAGUUCUAGCUUCCUAAAUUUAUUUGAGAACUUCCUAUUUUCCAGUUAGGACUCUUAUGUGCUUUAGAAACAUUUUUAUUAUCUUUGCACUACUCUGAGGUAGUUCUUAUGUCUCAUUUUACAGACUGGGAAGUCAUGGGUUAGUUCCUUGCUCAAGGUCACGUGGUUUACAGAUGCUAUGUGGAACUGAGAUUUGUGCUGAGAAGACCACUGGGCUGAGAAACAGUGAUAAAUUCCUGAUUCUGUAACUUCCUUGGACUCUACCUUUCUCUUUUGUGAAAGGAAAAGAUACAGGAUAUGCCUCCUAGCCCAGAAAUACUAUCUCUAGAAUGGAAAUGGAGUGGAAAAUGGAACCGAUGUACUCACAGGGAUGGGCAGAGCAGCGGCAGUGCUCAAAAGGCCAGCCAAGAGGAGAACUUUCAUUCUGAAGGAAGAGUCUGGAAUUAAAGGAUGCCAAGCUGUGAGAAGUCCUAUGGAGAGGACCACAUGGUGAGGAAACGGAAUCUUCCAACAGUAGCCAUGUGGGCGAGUUCAGAGGAGAUCCUAAGAUAGAACUGUCCAGAUAAACAACUCCUAGAUUCCUGAUCCUUGGAAACUGUGAACUUACUCAGAAUUGAUCAGCCAGUAUAUAUUUGAUCUUGAAGAAAAUGCUGCUAAAGAGUAUGGGUGUGCAUUCCCAAGACUUCUCAUACUAAUUUCUUAGGUUUCUCAUACUAAGUGAUAAACUUCCAAAGGAAAAUUUAUUUCUUCCCAUUCUCUUUGGCAUUUGGGUCCUGGAAGAUCCCCUUUCUAAUAAAUUAUAAUCAACAUUGUCAGAUUUAUAUUUAUUGUAUCUUGUAGAAUCUGGUAGUUCUGAAGGAAAUAUUCUUUCAGAAAGUAUUUUAUAUCAAUAUUUUGAGUCAUUCAUUUUCUGCUUGGGAAAAAAUAAUAUUAAAACAAAAAAGAGAAUUUCAAACCACUAUAUAAACACAUUUUCUUUUAAAUGGAGGAUUUCUAAAUUAAAUGUAGGAAGGAGAGAUGUAAUAACAGAAAAAAGGGUAUUUACCGGUAUUGCAGUUGCAGUUCCCAAAAUGUAUAGGAGAAAAACUACAGUCUUCAUGCUUUCUAGGCCUGCGAACGAAGAAGAUAAUUAGCAGUGGUGGGUAAAAGUUUCCUUGUGAAAAAUUAAAAGAUAAUCUUCUUAGGAAAUAAUGAGCUUGAUACUGACCUUUGUAUUUAAACGCGAUUACUGUCUUUACAGUAAUGCCUUUACAGACAUGUGAACUAACAUGUCUGGAAAGACGGAUUUAAUGACAGUUUUUAUCCAGUUGUGUCUGUGAGAAUGACUCCUUGAUUUUUUGGCCCAGCUGUGUUUGGGCAGCACCUAUCUCUGUUUUUGACUGUGUUUUCAUGAAUAAAGAUGCUAUGCAGAUUUAA